AAAUUGAAGAGUUUGAUCAUGGCUCAGAUUGAACGCUGGCGGCAGGCCUAACACAUGCAAGUCGAACGGUAACAGGAAGAAGCUUGCUUCUUUGCUGACGAGUGGCGGACGGGUGAGUAAUGUCUGGGAAACUGCCUGAUGGAGAGGGAUAACUACUGGAAACGGUAGCUAAUACCGCAUAACGUCGCAAGACCAAAGAGGGGGACCUUCGGGCCUCUUGCCAUCGGAUGUGCCCAGAUGGGAUUAGCUAGUAGGUGGGGUAACGGCUCACCUAGGCGACGAUCCCU
This 287-nucleotide ribosomal RNA is filed under the name Escherichia coli. RNAcentral's name for it is "partial 16S ribosomal RNA". It matches the Rfam family "Bacterial small subunit ribosomal RNA", at positions 1 to 284 of the family's 1533-position model. The record is from RNAcentral. Lineage: Bacteria; Pseudomonadati; Pseudomonadota; Gammaproteobacteria; Enterobacterales; Enterobacteriaceae.